RNAcentral lists this ribosomal RNA (253 nucleotides) under uncultured bacterium. Its description in RNAcentral is "partial 16S ribosomal RNA". It matches the Rfam family "Bacterial small subunit ribosomal RNA", at positions 524 to 776 of the family's 1533-position model. The record is from RNAcentral.
UACAGGGGGGGCAAGCGUUGUUCGGAAUUACUGGGCGUAAAGGGCUCGUAGGCGGCCAACUAAGUCGGACGUGAAAUCCCCAGGCUCAACCUGGGAACUGCGUCCGAUACUGGAUGGCUUGAAUCCGGGAGAGGGAUGCAGAAUUCCAGGUGUAGCGGUGAAAUGCGUAGAUAUCUGGAGGAAUACCGGUGGCGAAGGCGGCAUCCUGGACCGGCAUUGACGCUGAGGAGCGAAAGCUAGGGGAGCAAACGGG